RNAcentral lists this non-coding RNA (75 nucleotides) under unclassified sequences. Its description in RNAcentral is "Burkholderiales-2 RNA". It matches the Rfam family "Burkholderiales-2 RNA". The record is from RNAcentral.
GCAUAGCUUCGGCCCAUGCCCGAAGGUGCUCUUUUGCCGGACAAAUGCCCCGCAGGUGGGGCAAGCAACAUCGGC